AGCGAACACUGGCGGCAGGCCUAACACAUGCAAGUCGAACGAACUCUUCGGAGUUAGUGGCGGACGGGUGAGUAACACGUGGGAACGUGCCUUUAGGUUCGGAAUAACUCAGGGAAACUUGUGCUAAUACCGAAUGUGCCCUUCGGGGGAAAGAUUUAUCGCCUUUAGAGCGGCCCGCGUCUGAUUAGCUAGUUGGUGAGGUAAAGGCUCACCAAGGCGACGAUCAGUAGCUGGUCUGAGAGGAUGAUCAGCCACAUUGGGACUGAGACACGGCCCAAACUCCUACGGGAGGCAGCAGUGGGGAAUCUUGCGCAAUGGGCGAAAGCCUGACGCAGCCAUGCCGCGUGAAUGAUGAAGGUCUUAGGAUUGUAAAAUUCUUUCACCGGGGACGAUAAUGACGGUACCCGGAGAAGAAGCCCCGGCUAACUUCGUG
This 433-nucleotide ribosomal RNA is filed under the name uncultured bacterium. RNAcentral describes it as "partial 16S ribosomal RNA". It matches the Rfam family "Bacterial small subunit ribosomal RNA", at positions 29 to 507 of the family's 1533-position model. The record is from RNAcentral.